AAUACUGUCGGUAUUCAGCCCAAGAUCAACGGUGCAAAAAAUUGAAUAGCAAGGGAUUAGUAAUUAGAUCGUUUGGAAUUUGGAAAGAAAGCUUGCUCCAAUUUCAGUUUUGAUUCUCCCAAAGGGCACCUGGUUGUGAUGUAUAUUUAAUGCAUAUUUCUUUAAGAAGGCAUGAGGUCUUAUUGGGGAGCCUAGGCUGAAUUGUUUUCAGAAGGGUGAGAUGUUUCAGCCUAUCAACUAUACUACUAUUACCCUGAUUCCUAAAGUGGUUAGCCUUGUCAGAAUCCCUGAGUUCAGGCCUAUCUCAUGUUCUACGAUGAUUGUUGUAUAAACAGAUCUCUAAAGUGCUUACCAAGAGAAUGCAUAGGGUUAUAGAGGAUUUAGUGGAUCAGAGUCAGUCAAUUUUUGUUCCUGGGAGAGUUAUUUAUGACAGUAGGAAGAAAAUAUCUGCAAGAUGUAUGUUGAAAAUUGACAUUAAGAAGGCAUAUGAUUCAGUGUCUAUUAUGCAAUAUUUGCCCUUAAUUGAUAAGAUGCUUCAUCAAGUUUCUAACCUAUGCUGGUCGUUUACAAUUAGUGGAGUUUGUUCCCUUUUUUGUUCAAGUCUUUUCAUCCCAAGUAUUUGUGUUGCCCAAAAAGGUAGUUCGGCUGGUUGAGGCUACACGUAGGACUUUUUUAUGGACAGGUAGUGUUGAAUUAUCCAAGAAGUUCCUUAGGAAAGAUUAUGUUUGCCAAAAGCUGCAGGAGGUCUUACUAUCUUAGAUGUCUAUAUGUUGUUGUGGGGAAGUAUUGUAGAAUAUCUGUAAGAAAAAAGACACCUUGUGGGUGAAGCAAAGGAGGUGCUGUGUGGAAAACUCAGGAUAAACAAGCCUCCUGGAUGAUCCAACAGAUUUUGAAGACAAAGAAGCCAUUGUUAAGGCAAGUAUGACAGAGGAGGAUGUGGCUCAGCUGCACACUUACUUUAUAAAAAAGGUGUAUAGGUUGAUUAGAAAUGAGGCUCCAAAGGUACCAUGGAGAAGAUUCGUAUGUAAUAACAAGGGAGUUCCGAAGUGGUUGUUUGUAAUAUACUUGGCACUACACAGAAGACUCCAAAACAUGAAAAAGAUAGCUUGUUGGGUGAACCUGAAAGAUACAGCGUGUCCUUUAUGUCAAUUGGAGGAUGACAAUAUUGAUCACAUGAUGACAAUAUUGAUCACAUGUUCUUUAAAUGUGUCUACGCAGCAUGUGUGUGGUGGAGAUAACUAUUUGCUUGGUUAGGCAUUGCCAAAUCAGUGGUUGAUUGGAAAAGUGAGGUUACGUGGCAAUGGCCAAGCAAGGGGCAAAACUGUACAAGAAGUGUACAUAAUGGAAUUGGCUGGAGUGGUGUAUCAUGUUUGAAAAGAAAGAAAGGCAGACCACCAGACCAGGUGGUUAAGAAGAUCAUACAUGAGAUUCAAUGUAGAGAUAAAAAAUGUAGUAAACCAAGUGGUAGAUUGCUGGAUUUAAAUUUCUAUCCCUAGUAUAGCUUAGUAGGUUGAUGUUUGUUGAUAUUUAGGUUGUUCGAGGGGUUGUAAUAGUAAUAAAGUUAGUUGAGAGCCUAAGGCUUCAGGUUCAAAUCCCCACGAUGAUAAAAAAUACCAGGCGAUUCUUUCUACAAGUACAAACAUUAUCAAGCUAGACUAAUUGAAAUUUGUAUUCGAGCUUGUUGUGAACAAUGCGGAGGUCAAUAAAUUGGCUUUCUUGAAAACGGUUAAUAAUCCAUCUACUGAUUGAUGUUG
This is a long non-coding RNA of Capsicum annuum, 1754 nucleotides long. RefSeq lists it as uncharacterized. The transcript has 2 exons. Lineage: Eukaryota; Viridiplantae; Streptophyta; Magnoliopsida; Solanales; Solanaceae. The record is from RefSeq and is a predicted model, not a curated record.